GUGCCAGCAGCCGCGGUAAUACAGAGACUGCAAGCGUUAUUCGGAUUCACUGGGCGUAAAGGGUGCGCAGGCGGCCGUGUGUGUCAGGUGUGAAAGCCCGAGGCUCAACCUCGGAAUUGCGCCUGAAACUACACGGCUAGAGUAUUGGAGAGGGUAGCGGAAUUCACGGUGUAGCAGUGAAAUGCGUAGAUAUCGUGAGGAACACCAGAGGCGAAGGCGGCUACCUGGACAAUAACUGACGCUCAGGCACGAAAGCGUGGGGAGCAAAAGGGAUUAGAAACCCCAGUAGUCC
Molecule: ribosomal RNA, 292 nt
Filed under: uncultured bacterium
Lineage: Bacteria
Description: partial 16S ribosomal RNA
Rfam family: Bacterial small subunit ribosomal RNA
Source: RNAcentral